Long non-coding RNA from Cucumis sativus (cucumber), 627 nucleotides. RefSeq lists it as uncharacterized. Lineage: Eukaryota; Viridiplantae; Streptophyta; Magnoliopsida; Cucurbitales; Cucurbitaceae. The record is from RefSeq and is a predicted model, not a curated record. The transcript has 2 exons.
AGGCAACAAAAUAUCAAAGCUUUUUCGUACAUUCAUUUGAGCCUAAUUAAACUGUGCCCACUUACAUUAACUGCCAAAGCAAACCAUUCCUAUGUCUGCACGACUCUUUCUAUUUCAACAAUAUGUAUAUGUUGCUGUCUCAACUUCUUUUGGCGUUUUCAUCAAACACUUCUCUUCUUUUUCUUCUCCUUCUCUUCCCUUUCUAUCUCUAUUUUGAAAGAGAUGAAUUUGCUUGAGAUAUAUUGAGUGGAACCAACCAUUUUGCUUAAAUUAGAAGAAAUUUGAAGUUGAACAAAAAUAGCUUGGAGAAAGGCAAAACAGUUCCAAGACGUAUAAAGAGGCAAAGAUAAGCUAAAAAAGGACUGGAGGUAUCACCUCAAUGCUAGGUUUGGCACUAGAGACCUAAGGCUACAUAACAAGAUUGCAUUAGGACCAACUUUUUCAAGAAAUGCAUUAUCUAAACGUUUUGUGGCACUCUCCCAAAAAUGCAUCCCUUUUUUGGUCAUACCAGUUGUCUUACAGAAACUUGUUUGAGGCUACAUUUACCAAACCGUAAUGAAAAUUAAUGUAGUUGUAAUGAAAUUUUAUUGUUAGAUUAAUUGUAAUGAACGCCAAUCCCAAAUGUAA